GAUGAACGCUGGCGGCGUGCCUAAUACAUGCAAGUCGAGCGAACGGACGAGAAGCUUGCUUCUCUGAUGUUAGCGGCGGACGGGUGAGUAACACGUGGAUAACCUACCUAUAAGACUGGGAUAACUUCGGGAAACCGGAGAUAAUACCGGAUAAUAUUUUGAACCGCAUGGUUCAUAAGUGAAAGACGGUCUUGCUGUCACUUAUAGAUGGAUCCGCGCUGCAUUAGCUAGUUGGUAAGGUAACGGCUUACCAAGGCAACGAUGCAUAGCCGACCUGAGAGGGUGAUCGGCCACACUAGAACUGAGACACGGUCCAGACUACUACGGGAGGCAGCAGUAGGGAAUCUUCCGCAAUGGGCGAAAGCCUGACGGAGCAACGCCGCGUGAGUGAUGAAGGUCUUCGGAUCGUAAAGCUCUGUUAUUAGGGAAGAACAUAUGUGUAAGUAACUGUGCACAUCUUGACGGUACCUAAUCAGAAAGCCACGGCUAACUACGUG
This 497-nucleotide ribosomal RNA is filed under the name uncultured bacterium. RNAcentral's name for it is "partial 16S ribosomal RNA". It matches the Rfam family "Bacterial small subunit ribosomal RNA", at positions 28 to 507 of the family's 1533-position model. The record is from RNAcentral.